GGAUAUAUAGCUCAGUGGCAUAAGCACCUGCCUGGCAAGUGGCAAGGUCCCAAGUUCAAUUCCUGGUAUAUUUC
This 74-nucleotide transfer RNA is filed under the name Cavia porcellus (domestic guinea pig). It matches the Rfam family "tRNA". Rfam says of the family: Transfer RNA (tRNA) molecules are approximately 80 nucleotides in length. Their secondary structure includes four short double-helical elements and three loops (D, anti-codon, and T loops). Lineage: Eukaryota; Metazoa; Chordata; Mammalia; Rodentia; Caviidae. The record is from Rfam by way of RNAcentral.